This 398-nucleotide ribosomal RNA is filed under the name uncultured bacterium. RNAcentral describes it as "bacterial SSU rRNA". It matches the Rfam family "Bacterial small subunit ribosomal RNA", at positions 359 to 759 of the family's 1533-position model. The record is from RNAcentral.
CAUUGCUUGGGCGAAGCCCGACCGCCUGCCGCGUGUGUGAAGAAGGUCUUCGGAUUGUAAAGCACUUUAAGUUGGGAGGAAGGGCAGUUACCUAAUACGUGAUUGUUUUGACGUUACCGACAGAAUAAGCACCGGCUAACUCUGUGCCAGCAGCCGCGGUAAUACAGAGGGUGCAAGCGUUAAUCGGAAUUACUGGGCGUAAAGCGCGCGUAGGUGGUUUGUUAAGUUGGAUGUGAAAUCCCCGGGCUCAACCUGGGAACUGCAUUCAAAACUGACUGACUAGAGUAUGGUAGAGGGGGGUGGAAUUUCCUGUGUAGCGGUGAAGGGCGUAGAUAUAGGAAGGAACACCAAUGGCGAAGGCGACCACCUGGACUGAUACUGACACUGAGGUGCGAAAG